RNAcentral lists this ribosomal RNA (492 nucleotides) under uncultured bacterium. RNAcentral describes it as "partial 16S ribosomal RNA". It matches the Rfam family "Bacterial small subunit ribosomal RNA", at positions 29 to 507 of the family's 1533-position model. The record is from RNAcentral.
AGUGAACGCUGGCGGUAGGCCUGACACAUGCAAGUCGAACGGCGGCACAGUAAGAGCUUGCUCUUACGGGUGGCGAGUGGCGUACGGGUGAGGAAUACAUCGGAAUCUACUUUUUCGUGGGGGAUAACGUAGGGAAACUUACGCUAAUACCGCAUACGACCUACGGGUGAAAGCAGGGGAUCUUCGGACCUUGCGCGAUUGAAUGAGCCGAUGUCGGAUUAGCUAGUUGGCGGGUUAAAGGCCCACCAAGGCGACGAUCCGUAGCUGGUCUGAGAGGAUGACCAGCCACACUGGACCUGAGCCACGGCCCAGACUACUACGGGAGGCACCAGUGGGGACUCUUGGCAAAUGGGCGCCAGCCUGAUCCAGCCAUACCGCGUGGGUGAAGAAGGCCUUCGGCUUGUAAAGCACUUUUGUCGAGAAAGAACAGCAGCAAGUUAAUACCCCGAUGUUAUGACGGUCCACACAGAAUAAGCAACGGCUAACUUCGUG